AUUGAACGCUGGCGGCAGGCCUAACACAUGCAAGUCGAGCGGAGCGGCGGACGGGUGAGUAAUGCCUAGGAAUCUGCCUGGUAGUGGGGGAUAACGUCCGGAAACGGGCGCUAAUACCGCAUACUAUCAGAUGAGCCUAGGUCGGUUUAGCUAGUUGGUGGGGUAAAGGCCUACCAAGGCGACGAUCCGUAACUGGUCUGAGAGGAUGAUCAGUCACACGGGAACGGGGAAACGGCCAGAACUCCUACGGGAGGCAGCAGUGGGGAAGAUUGGAAAAUGGGCGAAAGCCUGAUCCAGCAAUGCGGCGGGUGGGAAGAAGGUCUUCGGAUUGUAAAGCACUUUAAGUUGGGAGGCGUUACCAACAGAAUAAGCACCGGCUAACUUCGUGCCAGCAGCCGCGGUAAUAC
This 407-nucleotide ribosomal RNA is filed under the name uncultured bacterium. RNAcentral's name for it is "partial 16S ribosomal RNA". It matches the Rfam family "Bacterial small subunit ribosomal RNA", at positions 29 to 526 of the family's 1533-position model. The record is from RNAcentral.